This 425-nucleotide ribosomal RNA is filed under the name uncultured bacterium. Its description in RNAcentral is "partial 16S ribosomal RNA". It matches the Rfam family "Bacterial small subunit ribosomal RNA", at positions 354 to 796 of the family's 1533-position model. The record is from RNAcentral.
GUGGGGAAUAUUGGACAAUGGGCGCAAGCCUGAUCCAGCCAUGCCGCGUGAGUGAUGAAGGCCUUAGGGUUGUAAAGCUCUUUCACCGAUGAAGAUAAUGACGGUAUCCGGAGAAGAAGCCCCGGCUAACUUCGUGCCAGCAGCCGCGGUAAUACGAAGGGGGCUAGCGUUGUUCGGAAUUACUGGGCGUAAAGCGCACGUAGGCGGACAUUUAAGUCAGGGGUGAAAUCCCGGGGCUCAACCCCGGAACUGCCUUUGAUACUGGGUGUCUGGAGUAUGGAAGAGGUAAGUGGAAUUCCGAGUGUAGAGGUGAAAUUCGUAGAUAUUCGGAGGAACACCAGUGGCGAAGGCGGCUUACUGGUCCAUUACUGACGCUGAGGUGCGAAAGCGUGGGGAGCAAACAGGAUUAGAAACCCUAGUAGUCC